This 63-nucleotide transfer RNA is filed under the name Podarcis lilfordi (Lilford's wall lizard). Its description in RNAcentral is "tRNA.Ile". It matches the Rfam family "tRNA", at positions 8 to 63 of the family's 71-position model. Rfam says of the family: Transfer RNA (tRNA) molecules are approximately 80 nucleotides in length. Their secondary structure includes four short double-helical elements and three loops (D, anti-codon, and T loops). The record is from RNAcentral. Lineage: Eukaryota; Metazoa; Chordata; Lepidosauria; Squamata; Lacertidae.
AUAGCGCAGUUGGUUAGAGUGUGGUGCUGAUAACGCCGAGGUUGCAGGUUCGAUCCCUGUAUA